Molecule: ribosomal RNA, 548 nt
Filed under: uncultured bacterium
Lineage: Bacteria
Description: bacterial SSU rRNA
Rfam family: Bacterial small subunit ribosomal RNA
Source: RNAcentral
GAAGCGAAAGCGAUAAGCAUUCCACCUGGGGAGUACGCCGGCAACGGUGAAACUCAAAGGAAUUGACGGGGGCCCGCACAAGCGGAGGAACAUGUGGUUUAAUUCGAUGAUACGCGAGGAACCUUACCCGGGCUCAAGCGGGAGAUGACAGAGGGAGAGACCCCUCGUUCUACGGACAUCUUCCGAGGUGCUGCAUGGUUGUCGUCAGCUCGUGCCGUGAGGUGUCGGCUUAAGUGCCAUAACGAGCGCAACCCCUGCCGACAGUUGCUAACGGAUAAAGCCGAGGACUCUGUCGGGACUGCCGGCGCAAGCCGCGAGGAAGGCGGGGAUGACGUCAAAUCAGCACGGCCCUUACGUCCGGGGCGACACACGUGUUACAAUGGGUGGCACAGAGGGAAGCCAGGCGGCGACGCCGAGCGGAACCCGAAAUCCACUCUCAGUUCGGAUCGGAGUCUGCAACCCGACUCCGUGAAGCUGGAUUCGCUAGUAAUCGCGCAUCAGCCAUGGCGCGGUGAAUACGUUCCCGGGCCUUGUACUCACCGCCCGUC